GGGGGCAUAGCUCAGCCUGGGAGAGCACACGGCUGAAGACCGUGGUGUCCGGGAUUCAAAUUCCCGUGCCCCCA
RNAcentral lists this transfer RNA (74 nucleotides) under Candidatus Woesearchaeota archaeon. RNAcentral describes it as "tRNA-Phe". It matches the Rfam family "tRNA". From Rfam's summary of the family: Transfer RNA (tRNA) molecules are approximately 80 nucleotides in length. Their secondary structure includes four short double-helical elements and three loops (D, anti-codon, and T loops). The record is from RNAcentral. Lineage: Archaea; Nanobdellati; Candidatus Woesearchaeota.